Molecule: long non-coding RNA, 7060 nt
Filed under: Homo sapiens (human)
Lineage: Eukaryota; Metazoa; Chordata; Mammalia; Primates; Hominidae
Description: non-protein coding lnc-ZEB1-1:4
Source: RNAcentral
ACAGCUCUGGCGCCAUAAUCAGGGUCGCGGGUUGGGAUCAGCUGUGCCUCCCCAUCCCCACCCCCUACAGACCACCUCCCCUUACCCUGCCUGCCUGGAGCCCCAGCUGGCUCUUGGAAGGUCCCUUUCCAAUUUGCUCCACAUUCGGGAGUUUCUUAUUCCCACGGGAAGAACUCGUUGCCAUGGCGAUGUGCGCCUCCCAACCCUGAAGCCCGCCCUGGAAGCGAAAUCCUUGCCUGGGCUCCCAGGCUGAGCCGGAGGACCCCGGGGGUUCACCUAGCCCUCUGGGAUAAGGGGCUUUAGUCUCUAUAUUCUUUGGGCUUGGGGGUUGGGGACAGUGGGAGGAUUAAUUAUGGAGGCAAGGUCAGAGGAAAAGGGAAAAAUGGGAAAGAUUUUAUUUAAAGCCCCUGGUCAUUCUUGCCUUUCCGCCCGCCCACCACGACCCCUCAAGCCAGAUGCCGUCUCUAGUUCGGGAGCGUUGGAUGAGGAUGCCAGGCACUCUGCUUUUCCUAAACAACUUCCAAGAACCCCGGAACAUUUCUUAAAGUGUCUGGAACGAAGCUUUAACCUCGCCUGCUCCAUCAGCCUGGGACGGAAAAGACGCGAGGGGCGAAGAAGAGGUGGGGCACGGGGAGCCCGGGCCGUUCGGCGUAAGUGAUCCAGGCUUCCAGCGCCCCGGGCGCACCCCGCGGAAAGGCGUCUGGGAGUCGGGGACGUGCGGGGGGAGACCACCCGGCCAACCCCGGGGGAUGAGCUGCAAGGCUGGCCACGCCCGGCAGGAGACUGCGCGCAGAGACCCGCCCGGGGAAGCACGGGAGGAGGGAGGGCGGCCAUGUACAACCCCUGGCAGGUGGGAGCCUCCCUGGCGCCAGCUCGGGCAGGGCCACGCCCCUUCCCAACUCCCCGCGCUCGGCCUCCGGACUGCUCAGGGGGCCACGCCCCUUCCGGAUUCCCCGCGCUAGGCCUCCGGACCGCUCAGCGGCCCCGCCCCUUCUCGAGUUCUCCGCGCUCGGCCUCCGGACGGCUCAGGGGGCCACGCCCCGUCGCCCGGGGCCCCGCCCACUCCUCAAGCCCCACGGGACUCCCAGCCUACCUCCCUCCCGCUGCCGCACUGGACUCCCAGACCUCGGCACCAACCGUAUCUCCUGUUACUCGCCCCAGGGUGGUUGCCCGGGGAAAAACUCCAAGGGUUUCACUGGCUGGCCUGGAAACCCUUUCAUCUUUGCUCCAUCAGCAGCAGCUCUUUGAUUGAGUUCUCCUGGCUUUAGAGCCUCCCACUAUGGUCAUGCUGCAAAUUCCCGUGGCCAGCACCCGAGGCCUGCUGGCUCCGAUCUGGGCCACGUGUACAACCAGGUGUGCCCCCUUAGCCUCACGCCCUCCUCCUGUUGCCUCCCCAUCCCUCUAGCCUUCGGGACUUGGGGUUGCAAUGAAUCUUAGGUUUUUUCCAGGAGUCUUUUAUUCCUCCAGCGUCUCCGUGCGCCUGUCCGCUCCAACACCUGACAUUUUCCUUCAACUCCACCCUCCCCUCCCCGAGUCCACAGACACACACCCACCCACACGCCUCUUCCCUUCCCCUCCACCCUCAGUCAGCGGCAGAGUCAGUCCAUCCAAUAGGCAGGAGCCCAAAAGACUGUCCACGGACAGCUGUCCUCUCGCCCAGGAGAGUGGGGCUGCACACAGCAGCAGGCCCAGGAGGAAAUCGUGCUUUGAUAGCCCCAGGCAUCGUAUUUCAUCGUAUUUCACAAGUGAGCCAAAUGGAGAAGGGAUUAGCUGUUUCACCCAAUAAGCCCACAUCUGUAGUUACAUUCUGACUGGGAUAAAAUUACCCUGGUUAUUAAUCCUUCUGCUUUAGGGCAUAAGCUGAUCACCAGCUGGGGUCAGGAAAAAACUCCACCCCAGCUCCUUCCAACUUGCUCCCCCAUCCUCAGCUGCUCCAUUUCCUGUGGUCUAUUCUUGCACAGUUAGGUCUACAAGCCAGGUUCAAGGCCACCAACUGAGGCACCUGUCCCGAGACAGGACCAUUCUAAUCUGCCCUGAAAAGGACAUCCCAUUGAUCAUGUAAGUAUGUACUGAGAAUCUACUGUGGGCAAGACAUUGGUCUUCGCUGUGGGAGAUACAAAAACCAUUCAGGCAUGGCCCUUGCCUUUUUCAUGCCAAGAAAAGCUGAAGUGUGUGGUCAGAAAUUGCAUGUGGUUUCUGGGACUUACUGCCCUGAAGCACCCUGGGUGUAUCGGAUGGCCUCAGGGAACACAGUUUGGGUAUGGGCAGUAUUUUCAUGCCCAUUGCCAUUCCCUUCUGCCUCAAGUGUAUGUGGGCUUUCCCUGCAGUCAGCCAGCAGGCCAGGCCAGGGUGGCUUUGUUUCUGUCUCUGACCCUUUCUCUUCAGACUCCAAAUCUGCAGGUGCUGGAGACUUUGAAGGAGUCUCCGUUUCCCUUGGUAGAAACAAGAGGUAGGAACAAGCAGGUGGAAAGCCAGGGUUACUCCUUCCAGCCAAUGGGUCUGGGGCUGCAGCACACAAAGUUGACAUCCCGAAAGGCCAUUUUCCUCGAUCGCUUCAGACCUGGCAUUGGGUGGACAGACCACAUGAUUCAGCAUCCAAAUUGGAGAUCUCUCAAUAACAGAAAGAGGUGCCAUUGAUAAUUUCGUGGAACUUUCCUGAGCACACCAGGGUGUGCUCAUUCUUCCUGAGGGGUCAUCUCCCUUGGGCAUCGUAAGAGGCACCACUGAGACACAACAGCUUUUGUCACCAUUUCCCAAUUGUGUCCCAAGCUCUCUGUCCUCUUCCCUGUGCUGGUCAUCUCACAGUCUUCUUCUGCAGGUAGAUCCCCCCUACUUCAGCCCUUCCUCCCACCUCAGCUCCUUUGUUCCCGCUGCCAUGCCCAGAACAACCUAUAUUUCCACUCUCCAACCUUGGAUCAACCCAACUGUGUUUUCACGCUACUAUGUCCAGGAUACUGGAUGAUACUAGAGAUAGCCAUCAGUAACAUUCAUUACAUGAAUAAGUCUGGGUUGAUCCUGUGACACAGUUAUGCCUUCUACCCUCUGCUGCUUCUCAACAUUGCUCAGUCCUUAUGUUGGUGUUCUCAUUUCACAUGAUAGAGUUCCAAACCUUUUGUAGCCCGAAUCGUCAUCUAUCCCCUAAUUCUUGGAAAAGACCCUAACUUCACCAAUAGCAACAACAAUCAAAACCAACUGAACAAACAAAAAAAUACUUAAGAUACGAACCUCUCAGAUUUUCUGAACUCUCCACCUCCAGACUAAAUUUGUGGAUGGAUACCUAUCUGUUGACCAGACCCUCCCUCUUCAAUGAAAACUGCCUCUCCUUCCACUCCAUCUGUGAGGCACCCUUGGAUGCUGACAUGUGCUUACAUAGGACUUCCUGUCCACAGCCAGAAUUAGCCAGAAUUCACUGACCCAUGGUUGGACUCCUAAAAUACUCAAGAUGAGAGACAUGUUACUUUUCUUUACUAUAGUAACUAUCAAAUGCAUCCCAUAACCUUAUGUUGUAAAUGUCAAAUAUGCACAAUAAAAUUUAUUUGAAAAAAUAAAGCUGGAAAAUUGAAAGUAAUGAAUGUUCAGUUAAAAUCUGCAAACAAGCUAAUAAAUAAAUACUCAAGAUGGCCCAGUGACAGCCUUUCUCUAGAGUUUUUGAUUUGAGGCCAAGAAGGUUAGUGCAGCCUUUCUCCCAUGGCUGUCACUGUGAAGAUAAACAUUUGGGAAUUGAUGGCAGCCUUGUUUCUCCACCAGGCUGAAGAAACUAGGACCUGCGGGGGCUGAGACUGGAGUGAAACAGAUGUGAAGAGAAAAGUCCUGGGUCCAGGUGGUCCUGGGGCCCAGCCAUGCUCUUGUUUUUUUUUUUUUGUUUGUUUUUUGUUUGUUUGUUUGUUUGUUUUGUUUUAAUAGAUUUAAAUUGGUUCCUGCCAGGUACAGUCAAAGGCCUUUUUACCUGCUUCUCAGAGAAUUUCCCUCCGCCUGCCUGUGGCUAAUUCCUUCUCCUGCACCCUUGGUUCAGCCUCACCUGGCGACCCUUGUUCCAUCACUUCCACCACUUCUCUAGAAUCUUCAGUCAUUUCAGCAAUACAUAUGUUCAUCUUCCUGCCCAAAAACUGAAUAAGCAAAGACUUUCUUUCAUCUCUGACCCUCUUCAACUUCUGCCCUUCCCUUCUACUCACUAUCUCUAUUUUCUCACCUCCUACUUAAUGCCCAAUCUGCUGCUGCUAUCUUGCUCCAUUUCUUCUUCCCAUUUUCCUGAGGCUACUCUCUUGACAGGGAGUGCAUUGCAGAAUAUGUCCAAUUUCUUGUGUUUAUGUUACUUGUCUGCAGCAUCUGGCAUCAGUAACCACCUCCUCUUUCUCAAAACUCCCACUGCACUUGAUGGUUUUCCUGCUGGUUCUUGACCUGAUGCAGAAAAGCUUGACCUGCAGAAGCUGUACUAGAAGCAAUCAGGAUCUAAAGCUCUAGACUUUUCCAACCUGCCUCUCAUUGCCAUAAAAAUGCAACUGGCCUGUGUCUCCUCUCCUGGUGCACUGCUAAGGGAGGGCUGACUGAUCUAAUGAGAUUACUGGAGCUAAGGCAUUCACAGCAUCAAGAGGAGAGACACAGAAAUGUAAGACCUAAGUCCUGCCUUCAAAAACCCACAUGCUCAUUGGAAAAACAACACAGAAACACUUAAAAAAUGAAAUUCAAGCAUGAAGUAACAGCGUGAGGUAUGUCACAAAGUGGUAUGUUAUUAUUUUUUUUUAUGAGGUGGAAUCUCACACUGUCACUCAGGCUGGAGUGCAAUGGCAUGAUCUCGGUUCACUGCAACCUCCACCUCCCAGGUUCAAGUGAUUCUCCUGCCUCAGCCUCCUGAGUAGCUGGGAUUACAGGCGCCCACCACCAUGCCCAGCUAAUUUUUGUAUUUUUUUAUUAGAGACGGGGUUUCACCAUCUUGGUCAGGCUGGUCUCGAACUCCUGACCUGGUGAUCUGCCUGCCUCGGCCUCCCAAAGUGCUGGGAUUACAGGCAUGAGCCACCGCGCCCAGCCAGUGGCAUGUUAUUAAGAGAUGUGGAUACCAGUUUCUCCAGGAGAUCACAGAGCUUUCCCUGUAGGAGUAAUCAAUGGAGGCAUCCUUGUUGGGGAAGGGUCUUGGUGGUAGAUGCUGGUCUGAAAAUUGACCAAGGCCUUAAGUAAAAGUUAGGAGCUGUAUUUCCAGAGUAGAAAAAGAGAGAGACAGAGAGAGAGAGAGAGGGAGAUUCUAGGCGUGAAGAAAGCCCAAGAGCUCACAAAAUCUUGAGCUUGGGAUAGAAAUCAGACUGGACCAAGUGGAGGGUUAUAGUGGACAGUGCUCAUUUAACAAAAUAUUUUGUUUAUAAAUUUAUUAUUUGAUGUUUUAAAAACGUAUCAAGAAAACAUUAUGGGCAAAAUCAGAACACAGUUGGACUUCCUUACAUUUAUGUUAUUUUUUUUCCUUUUUUCAAUUGAUACACAUAUUUGUACAUAUUUAUGGAGUACAUGUGAUAUUUUGUUACAUGCAUGGAAUGUGGAAUGAUCAAGUCAAGGUAUUUAGGGUAGACAUCACCUCAAGUAUUUAUCAUUUUUAUAUGUUGGGAACAUGUCAAGUUCUCUCUUCUAGCUAUUUUGAACUAGACAAUACGUUGUUACUGACUAUAGCACCCCACUGUGGUAUAGAACAUUAGAACUUAUUCCUCCUAUCUAACUGUAUGUACCCACCAACUAAGCACUCUCUUAAUCCCCUUCCCCACCAGCACACCUUCGCAGCAUCUGGUAUCUAUCAUUCUCCUCUCUACCUCCAUAAGAUCAACUUUUUUUAGCUUCCAUAUAUGAGUGAGAACUUGCAAUGUUUGUCUUUCUCUGACAGCCUUAUUUCACUUAACAUAAUGACCUCCAGUUCCAUUCAUGUUGCUACAAAUGACAAGAUUUUAUUCCUUUUUUAUGGCCAAAUAGUAUUCUAUUUGUGUAUUUAUAUCACAUUUUUAAUCCAUUUGUCCAUUGAUGGACACUUAGGUUGAUCCCCUAUCUUUGCUAUUGUGAAUAGUGCUGUCGUAAACUGAGAGCACAGGUAUGCUGUGAUGUACUGAACUCCUUUCCUUUAGAAAAAUACCCCAUAGUGGGAUUGCUGGGUCAUAUGGUAGUUCUAUUUUUAGUUUUUUGAGAAAUCUCCGUACUGUUUUCCAUAAUGGCUGUACUAAUUUAGAUUCUCACCAACAGAUCCUUGCCAGCAUCUGUUACUAUUUUUUUUUUGUCUUUUUAAUAGUAGCCAUUCUAACAGGGGUAAGAAAAUGUCUCAUUGUGGAUUUCGAUUUGCAUUUCCCUGAUGAUUAGUGAUGUUGAGCAUUUUUUCAUGUACCUGUUGGCCAUUUGUAUGUCUUCUUUUGAGAAAUGUCUAUUCAUGUCCUUUGCUCACUUUUUAAUGGGAUUAUAUGGGUUUUUUUUCAACUGUUGGGUUGUUUGAGUUCCUUGUACAUUCUGGAUAUUAGUCCUUUGUCACAUUAAUAGUUUGCAAAUAUUUUCUCCAAUUCACCAGGCUGUCUCUUCACACUGUUGAUUGUGUGUAGAUGCUGUGCAGAAGCUAUUUAGUUCAACAUAGUCCCAUUUGUCUAGUGUUGUUUUUGUUGCCUAUGCUUGUGAUCCUGUUUUAUAUUUAUGGAGGAUAGAGGUGAGACAUCAUAAUCAUAUCAGUGUUAAGGACCUUGAAAGGUUGAAUGCAGAUCUUUAGUAGCACAUAAAGCUGGGACUAUAUUUUGGAAGACUUGAAUUCCAAGUGAAGCAGUUGGACCUUGCAUAUCUUGAUGUGCAAAGGGCUUUGAGGACAAUGACUACCUCAAGUUCUCUGGGUCUCUGGAGAAAAAUAUUUCUGAUUUUACAUACCUAGUCUAAUAUUGGAUUUCGUAUCUUUUACUGCAUAGUGUACAUUUUAAAAACUACAUAUGUAAGAGUUUUCUGGUGGUAGAAAUUAUGCCUCUUUGUUUCAUUACUCUUGUUCAUUGGUAUUAGUUGGAAGAGAUAAUGUCCCUUUAAGUGCAAACCCUCCCUUGAAGAAUAAAUCCUAAAACAACUG